Long non-coding RNA from Magnolia sinica, 527 nucleotides. RefSeq lists it as uncharacterized. Lineage: Eukaryota; Viridiplantae; Streptophyta; Magnoliopsida; Magnoliales; Magnoliaceae. The record is from RefSeq and is a predicted model, not a curated record. The transcript has 2 exons.
AGGGGCUUGCUACAAAUGAGAUAGGGAUCAAAAAGAAAAACCGACUAACGCACCAAAGGGAGCGAUGGAGGGUUGUGAGUUGAGAGGGGAAAAGCUACUGGAGCGACCCUCACCAGCUGAAGAACGCACCAAAUCAAUCCAAAGCUGAUGCGCCGACACCAACUUGAAGCUAUAUGCAUCAAGAUCGGGAAAAGCUGGGGAGUGGCAAUUGGUUCCCAAUGCAUUUCCUAAUACGUGCAGUGGAAAGUCGAAUUUUAGCGAAGGACUAAUCUUCAACAAGGAAUAGAAGAGAUUGGCCAAAUCAUCAUCGACCACUCCCCUGAAAUCAUCGGCAUCAAUGUUAAUCACCAGUUUGUCGUUGUCAUCAUCUUCGAUCCAUCAUUACCAUCUUUGCAUCAUUUCCUCCAGCAUCCACUGAGAACCCUUGAAUUCAGUGUUCAAAGUAUUGGCAUCGCUGCAAGUUUUGUUGGCGAGCAAUUCUGAAACAAUUUUGAUAUCGUCAACGCCUGAAAAUGUGGAUAAACAUU